RNAcentral lists this ribosomal RNA (292 nucleotides) under uncultured Acidobacteriota bacterium. Its description in RNAcentral is "uncultured Acidobacteria bacterium partial 16S ribosomal RNA". The record is from RNAcentral. Lineage: Bacteria; Pseudomonadati; Acidobacteriota.
GGACUACAGGGGUAUCUAAUCCUGUUUGCUACCCACGCUUUCGUGUUUCAGCGUCAGUUGCGGUCCAGUAAGCCGUCUACACCACAGGUGUUCCUCCUGAUAUCUACGCAUUUCACCGCUACACCAGGAAUUCCACUUACCCAUCCCGCACUCUAGCCUUCCAGUUUUCGGCGCACCCUCCCAGUUGAGCCGGGAGAUUUCACACCAGACUUAGAAAACCGCCUACACACCCUUUACGCCCAGUAACUCCGAACAACGCUCGCUGCCUACGUAUUACCGCGGCUGCUGGCAC